RNAcentral lists this transfer RNA (73 nucleotides) under Siphonobacter sp. BAB-5385. It matches the Rfam family "tRNA". Rfam says of the family: Transfer RNA (tRNA) molecules are approximately 80 nucleotides in length. Their secondary structure includes four short double-helical elements and three loops (D, anti-codon, and T loops). Further hydrogen bonds mediate the characteristic L-shaped molecular structure. tRNAs have two regions of fundamental functional importance: the anti-codon, which is responsible for specific mRNA codon recognition, and the 3' end, to which the tRNAs corresponding amino acid is attached (by aminoacyl-tRNA synthetases). tRNAs cope with the degeneracy of the genetic code in two manners: having more than one tRNA (with a specific anti-codon) for a particular amino acid; and 'wobble' base-pairing, i.e. permitting non-standard base-pairing at the 3rd anti-codon position. Lineage: Bacteria; Pseudomonadati; Bacteroidota; Cytophagia; Cytophagales; Cytophagaceae. The record is from Rfam by way of RNAcentral. RNAcentral also lists the same sequence under 3 other names.
GUCUCCGUAGCUCAGUUGGUAGAGCAAUUGACUCUUAAUCAAUGGGUCGCAGGUUCGAACCCUGCCGGGGACA